GAUGGAGGGGGAUAACUACUGGAAACGGUAGCUAAUACCGCAUAACCUCGCAAGAGCAAAGAGGGGGACCUUCGGGCUUCUCGCCAUCAGAUGUGCCCAGAUGGGAUUAGCUAGUAGGUGAGGUAAUGGCUCACCUAGGCGACGAUCCCUAGCUGGUCUGAGAGGAUGACCAGCCACACUGGAACUGAGACACGGUCCAGACUCCUACGGGAGGCAGCAGUGGGGAAUAUUGCACAAUGGGCGCAAGCCUGAUGCAGCCAUGCCGCGUGUGUGAAGAAGGCCUUCGGGUUGUAAAGCACUUUCAGCGGGGAGGAAGGCGAUAAGGUUAAUAACCUUGUUGAUUGACGUUACCCGCAGAAGAAGCACCGGCUAAUUCCGUGCCAGCAGCCGCGGUAAUACGGAGGGUGCAAGCGUUAAUCGGAAUGACUGGGCGUAAAGCGCACGCGGGCGGUCUGUUAAGUUGGAUGUGAAAUCCCCGGGCUUAACCUGGGAACUGCAUUCAAAACUGACAGGCUAGAGUCUUGUAGAGGGGGGUAGAAUUCCAGGUGUAGCGGUGAAAUGCGUAGAGAUCUGGAGGAAUACCGGUGGCGAAGGCGGCCCCCUGGACAAAGACUGACGCUCAGGUGCGAAAGCGUGGGGAGCAAACAGGAUUAGAUACCCUGGUAGUCCACGCUGUAAACGAUGUCGACUUGGAGGUUGUGCCCUUGAGGCGUGGCUUCCGGAGCUAACGCGUUAAGUCGACCGCCUGGGGAGUACGGCCGCAAGGUUAAAACUCAAAUGAAUUGACGGGGGCCCGCACAAGCGGUGGAGCAUGUGGUUUAAUUCGAUGCAACGCGAAGAACCUUACCUACUCUUG
This 856-nucleotide ribosomal RNA is filed under the name Pectobacterium carotovorum. Its description in RNAcentral is "bacterial SSU rRNA". It matches the Rfam family "Bacterial small subunit ribosomal RNA", at positions 132 to 983 of the family's 1533-position model. Lineage: Bacteria; Pseudomonadati; Pseudomonadota; Gammaproteobacteria; Enterobacterales; Pectobacteriaceae. The record is from RNAcentral.